GGAGAGUUGCCGGAGUGGCCGAACGGGUUCGCCUGCUAAGCGAAUGUUCAGGGUAAACCUGGACCGGGGGUUCGAAUCCCCCACUCUCCGCCA
Molecule: transfer RNA, 93 nt
Filed under: Acidobacteriota bacterium
Lineage: Bacteria; Pseudomonadati; Acidobacteriota
Also listed under: 1 other name
Description: Acidobacteria bacterium (freshwater metagenome) tRNA-Ser
Rfam family: tRNA
About the family: Transfer RNA (tRNA) molecules are approximately 80 nucleotides in length. Their secondary structure includes four short double-helical elements and three loops (D, anti-codon, and T loops). Further hydrogen bonds mediate the characteristic L-shaped molecular structure. tRNAs have two regions of fundamental functional importance: the anti-codon, which is responsible for specific mRNA codon recognition, and the 3' end, to which the tRNAs corresponding amino acid is attached (by aminoacyl-tRNA synthetases). tRNAs cope with the degeneracy of the genetic code in two manners: having more than one tRNA (with a specific anti-codon) for a particular amino acid; and 'wobble' base-pairing, i.e. permitting non-standard base-pairing at the 3rd anti-codon position.
Source: RNAcentral